This is a long non-coding RNA of Amphiprion ocellaris (clown anemonefish), 2485 nucleotides long. RefSeq lists it as uncharacterized. The record is from RefSeq and is a predicted model, not a curated record. NCBI's taxonomy places the organism in Eukaryota, Metazoa, Chordata, Actinopteri, Pomacentridae. The transcript has 3 exons.
CAGCUCACUUUAGACGUUCAGCAGUUUACUGAAGCUCCAAGCAGCUGAACAAUCAUUUUACUGCAACACAAACUCACUGAGACAACAACACUGCAACUCCUUCUGUGAAGCCGUAAACAUCUUUCUCUCUUCUGCAGACGUUAAACCCUGGACAAUGAACCGUGAAGGAGCAGCGUCACACUCCAGCUCUGACCGCUGAAAGUGAAGAGAGAGAACGGUUUAAGAAGAGUUCUGGGUCACCUGAUGAUCAUCCAGGAGCAGAUCAGAGGAACGUCCAGAAGACCAGUGGAUUCUCGAAAUCAGGAGUGUCCUCUUUUCUCAACUUUGAGGACUUGUCCAACAUGGUGCUCGACUGUCGAUGAAGGAACCACAUCAUCGUCAUCAGCAUCAUCAUCAUCAUCAUGGGUUCAACAUCAGUGGGUCGGAUUCCAAACACGAGGUAUCACAACACCGUUAGAAGCAAGUUGAUAUCGAUUGAUUCCUGACAUCCACAAAAAGUUACAACAUUCUGAUUUGUUUUGAAGCGUCACACUAAAGUCUGUCAUUGGUGGAACCUGGAGGAUAGAACUCAGCGUUAUUAGCACCUCUACAACCACCUGGCAGGUUCCCACAACAUUAGAUAACAUCAUCUACAAGUUCUAAUGUUUUAAAGAAAAUGUCCUCAUCCAGGUGAGGUUGGUAGCAAUGCAGAUUAUGUUCCACGAUAACAAAAGAAGAAAUCUUUUUAAACCAACAUUUAAAAAACGCUUUCCAGAUUUAUUGAGACUCUAAAUAAAUGAACAUUACAGAAUGUUCCUAUAAUCUGAUAUGUUAAAGGGAGAACGUUUGGUCUUGUUGUGGAGGAAACACAUGAUACAAUGUUCUUCUAUUAAACAUUCACACAGUGUUCCAUCAUAACAAAGGAUGUUCUCAAACCAACAUUUGGAAACCAUUUUUAAGAUGUUUUAAGGCCUCAGAUGACAGAAAGUUCUUCAUGAGACGUUCUACUACUGCAAUGUAUUCACAAAGGUGGAACAUUCUGCCUGGUAUGUUCUGAGGAUGUUCUUGAGAGAACACGUUAUAGAAUCUAUCAAACGAUCCCACAGUGUUCCACAAUUUUCAAUGAUAAGAAAGAAAGAGAAUAAUUGUUAAGGCAUUACGGUCUAACGAUGUUAUGUUAGAACAUCUUCACUUCUACUGAGUUUAAGUAGAACAUUCUGAGAACUAAAAGAAAACUUCCUGCUGGAAACAAUAGUAGAACUUCACAGAACCUUCUCAGAUAAACCUAAAUAGUUGUCAGCAGCAUUCUCCAGAUUUAGAGCCAAUAAUGGAUGUUGUUCUGAGUGGUUCUACAUGUAAGGUUGGAUUCUAUGGAGUUAAACUCAUAGACGGAGUUGGUGGAUUCUGCAAAAUGUUGAUUUCUGCAGAGCAAGAAGAGCGUCUAAUCAUCCAACUUCAUUUAAUCCCUCAAAGAAACCAGAAACAGAGCAUGAUUUGGAUUUAAAGGUGACAUUCCAUCAGAACCAUAACAGGAUUCAAUCCUUCCAUCCUGUUGAUGUUAAACGCAUGAGGUUUAACCAGGUGGUCAUAGGUGAUUUAAAGUUGGUGUUUCUGGUUCAGUCCAUCCUGGGCUCGGGUUCAUUUCAGGACAAAACUAAACCUUCUUUUUGGGAGUCAGCGAUCUUCCAAAACCAGUCAAAGUACGAGUAUUACUUUAAUAGUUUCUAAUAAACACUCAGCUGGUUAACGUCCAGGUGAAGUCCAGAUGUUGGACCUUUUACAAACUAUUAUAAUUUUUACCUGAAUUCAUUAAAACCUUCUGAAUUAAUUCACCUUGAAAGUCGUAGAUGAUAAUCAGAGAGGAAGUAAAUCCACUUUACAUGAACAUCAGUCUCUGGAGAUCUUCUGUUUUUCUUCAGCUGCUCUGUAAACUCUCCUCUAGAUGUUCUAAAGUAGUAAAUCUCCAGUAAAUCAUAAAGGAGUCCUGCUCUCCACUUCAUAAAUCAAAGGACGCUGCGAUUGAUUAGAGUACAUAAGAAGACUGAAUAACAGGAGAUUAAAUCGACAGAAUGUUUACCUGCCCUCUGGUGACAGAUUUAACACUGAUGGCUUCACAACACCUGGAUCUGAGGAGGUGUUUGAACUCAUGGUAUGAAUAACUUUGUUCUCUCCUCUGGGUUCUUCUGUGGAACCAAAUCUACACCUUUAAAGACAUUUAGCUGCUGAUUUAAUACAGUUUCAGUCUCUUGGUUUAGUACUUAUUAGAGGAAAAGAUAAAUAUGUUUUGAUCAGUGAAUCUCACUCCAUUUAUUGAUUAAUUACCGUCCACAAUCAAAAAGACUUGAAUUAAAAUCCCAUCCUGCGCCGUUAUCAUGUUUUUUUUUAGUUUCAAUUUCAUUUGUUGUUUACUUUCAGCACAUUUUGGGUUAAGUUUAGGCAUCAAAACUAUUAUUAUUGAAUUUAUUAAUUUAUUUUCAAUAAUUUACUGUAAUUUUCCAGAUUCUGC